RNAcentral lists this ribosomal RNA (407 nucleotides) under uncultured bacterium. Its description in RNAcentral is "partial 16S ribosomal RNA". It matches the Rfam family "Bacterial small subunit ribosomal RNA", at positions 30 to 526 of the family's 1533-position model. The record is from RNAcentral.
AUUGAACGCUGGCGGCAGGCCUAACACAUGCAAGUCGAGCGGAGCUGCGGACGGGCGAGUAAUGCCUAGGAAUCUGCCUGGUCGUGGGGGCUAACGUCCGGUAACGGGCCCUAAUACCGCAUCCUAUCAGCUGAGCCUAGGUCGGAUUCGCUAGUUGGUGGGGUAAAGUCCUACCAAGGCGACGAUCCGUAACGGGUCUGAGAGGAUGAUCAGUCACACUGGAACUGAGACACGGUCCAGACUCCUACGGGAGGCAGCAGUGGGGAAUAUUGGACAAUGGGCGAAAGCCUGAUGCAGCCAUGCCACGUGUGUGAAGAAGGUCUUCGGAUUGUAAAGCACUUUAAGUUGGGAGGCGUUACCAACAGAAAAAGCACCGGCUAACUUCGUGCCAGCAGCCGCGGUAAUAC